UGUCUCCUCCAUCUCCUCAAAGGAUGGAUUUAGCCCCAAGCCUCACGGCCUGGGGCUUUUUUU
RNAcentral lists this non-coding RNA (63 nucleotides) under Acidovorax temperans. RNAcentral's name for it is "Betaproteobacteria toxic small RNA". It matches the Rfam family "Betaproteobacteria toxic small RNA". Rfam says of the family: Overexpression in amino aid rich medium attenuates growth, suggesting role in repressing amino acid intake and metabolism. Lineage: Bacteria; Pseudomonadati; Pseudomonadota; Betaproteobacteria; Burkholderiales; Comamonadaceae. The record is from Rfam by way of RNAcentral.